GACGAACGCUGGCGGCGUGCUUAACACAUGCAAGUCGAACGGAAAGGCCCUGCUUUUGUGGGGUGCUCGAGUGGCGAACGGGUGAGUAACACGUGAGUAACCUGCCCUUGACUUUGGGAUAACUUCAGGAAACUGGGGCUAAUACCGGAUAGGAGCUCCUGCUGCAUGGUGGGGGUUGGAAAGUUUCGGCGGUUGGGGAUGGACUCGCGGCUUAUCAGCUUGUUGGUGGGGUAGUGGCUUACCAAGGCUUUGACGGGUAGCCGGCAUGGGAGGGUGACCGGCCACGUGGGGACUGAGAUACGGACCAGAAUCCUCAGGGGGGCAGAAGUGGGGAAUAUUGCACAAUGGGCGGAAGACUGAUGCAGCAACGCCGCGUGCGGGAUGACGGCCUUCGGGUUGUAAACCGCUUUCGCCUGUGACGAAGCGUGAGUGACGGUAAUGGGUAAAGAAGCACCGGCUAACUACGUG
RNAcentral lists this ribosomal RNA (468 nucleotides) under uncultured bacterium. Its description in RNAcentral is "partial 16S ribosomal RNA". It matches the Rfam family "Bacterial small subunit ribosomal RNA", at positions 28 to 507 of the family's 1533-position model. The record is from RNAcentral.